AUAUAAAUGUAUGUAACUGUAAGAUGUAAUUCACCUGAAUUGCAUUUGAUGAAACUCAAGAUGAAACUCAUUGUCAGUCUCAUCAUCGCCUGUGUGCUCUUCAAUAAAGUGUGCUCACUCUAGUGCUAUGAGUGUUUUUGGGAAGGAUGCUCCCCGAAACAAGUAAUCUGCCCAUCUGGACAGAAAUGUGGGAGCACAUAUGAGCGUGUCCUCAGUGGACAGCGAAAUUCAUUUGAAUUUCAAAGGCGCUGUGUGCAACCUAAGGAGUGUGUUUCUGGCUCACUGAAUUUAGGAUUUAACAGGAUUGAAAUUACCAACACAUGCUGUACUACUGACUUCUGCAAUGCUGAUACUGCUCCUGGUUUUAGUAGCCAAUUCUUCAAUGGGAAGAAAUGCUUCACAUGUUCUGGCAAAGAUUGUACAUCAAUGGUCAGAUGUCAGGGAGACGAAAACAGUUGUGUAAAAAUGACAGGUAAGAGUUUGUCUGACUUUUUAAUAUAAUGCUGUUUAUAUCGGUGGCCAACAGAAUCACCAUUCUGUAUAACAAGCUGAUCUAUUAUUUUCGCAGUACAAAUAUCUGAUUAUUGAUUUCUCCAUGGGGUGACAUGGUUGU
Brienomyrus brachyistius is the source of this 613-nucleotide long non-coding RNA. RefSeq lists it as uncharacterized. The transcript has 4 exons. NCBI's taxonomy places the organism in Eukaryota, Metazoa, Chordata, Actinopteri, Osteoglossiformes, Mormyridae. The record is from RefSeq and is a predicted model, not a curated record.